Molecule: ribosomal RNA, 483 nt
Filed under: uncultured bacterium
Lineage: Bacteria
Description: partial 16S ribosomal RNA
Rfam family: Bacterial small subunit ribosomal RNA
Source: RNAcentral
GACGAACGCUGGCGGCGUGCUUAACACAUGCAAGUCGAACGAUGAUGCUGGAGCUUGCUCCAGUUGAUAGUGGCGAACGGGUGAGUAACACGUGAGCAAUCUGCCCUUGACUCUGGGAUAACUGCGGGAAACUGUAGCUAAUACCGGAUACUUUCACCGGGGGGCAUCCUCUGGUGAUGAAAGAAUUUCGGCCAAGGAUGAGCUCGCGGCCUAUCAGCUUGUUGGUGAGGUAACGGCUCACCAAGGCGACGACGGGUAACCGGCCUGAGAGGGUGACCGGUCACACUGGGACUGAGACACGGCCCAGACUCCUACGGGAGGCAGCAGUGGGGAAUAUUGCACAAUGGGCGCAAGCCUGAUGCAGCAACGCCGCGUGAGGGAUGAAGGCCUUCGGGUUGUAAACCUCUUUUAGCAGGGAAGAAGCGAAAGUGACGGUACCUGCAGAAAAAGCACCGGCUAACUACGUGCCAGCCGCCGCGGUAA